This is a long non-coding RNA of Clupea harengus (Atlantic herring), 400 nucleotides long. NCBI's taxonomy places the organism in Eukaryota, Metazoa, Chordata, Actinopteri, Clupeiformes, Clupeidae. The record is from Ensembl.
UGCUCAGAACCAGUAAUAAAAUCUCAGUAACAAGUUAUAGUACCUUAUUAAGAUACACCAUCUUAGUAAGAUGAAAUAUCUUAAAUAAAGGCAAUAUAUACUUGUUUUUGUCUGACAAGAUAUUUCUUCCUACACUGCAAAAAAUCAGCCUUUAAAAACAAGAAAAGAAAUCAUCUGUUGAGGAUAUUGCCAUUUGUUUUGGAGAGUUUUGAAGUCAAAUGCUCUUACUCGGUAGGAAGAAAUAUCUUGUCAAACAAAAAACAAGUAUAUAUUGCCUUGAUUUAAGAUAUUUCAUCUUACUAAGAUGGUGUAUCUUAAUAAGGUACUAUAACCUGUUACUGAGAUUUUAUUAUUGGUUCUGAGCAAGUUAGUGCUUGGAACUAGUUUCAUCACCACUGGC